Molecule: small nucleolar RNA, 139 nt
Filed under: Sorghum bicolor (sorghum)
Lineage: Eukaryota; Viridiplantae; Streptophyta; Magnoliopsida; Poales; Poaceae
Description: Small nucleolar RNA Z247
Rfam family: Small nucleolar RNA Z247
About the family: Z247 is a member of the C/D class of snoRNA which contain the C (UGAUGA) and D (CUGA) box motifs.
Source: Rfam by way of RNAcentral
CCCUUUGAUGUUGAGGCAUUGGUUUGGUACAUUUUUACUAACUUGGACAUAGAAUAUAACCAUAUUGUUUCUAAAGUUCUUGCUCGUAUUUAACCAAUUUUAGUUGGAGAACUUCACUCGCAAUUACUUAGCUACAAGC